AAGUGUAGUUCAGUGGUAGAGCAUCUCCCUAGCAUGCAUAAGGCCCUGGGUUCAAUUCCCAGCAUCCUUA
This 70-nucleotide transfer RNA is filed under the name Cavia porcellus (domestic guinea pig). It matches the Rfam family "tRNA". From Rfam's summary of the family: Transfer RNA (tRNA) molecules are approximately 80 nucleotides in length. Their secondary structure includes four short double-helical elements and three loops (D, anti-codon, and T loops). Further hydrogen bonds mediate the characteristic L-shaped molecular structure. tRNAs have two regions of fundamental functional importance: the anti-codon, which is responsible for specific mRNA codon recognition, and the 3' end, to which the tRNAs corresponding amino acid is attached (by aminoacyl-tRNA synthetases). tRNAs cope with the degeneracy of the genetic code in two manners: having more than one tRNA (with a specific anti-codon) for a particular amino acid; and 'wobble' base-pairing, i.e. permitting non-standard base-pairing at the 3rd anti-codon position. The record is from Rfam by way of RNAcentral. Lineage: Eukaryota; Metazoa; Chordata; Mammalia; Rodentia; Caviidae.